AUUGAACGCUGGCGGCAUGCUUUACACAUGCAAGUCGAACGGUAACAGGCCGCAAGGUGCUGACGAGUGGCGAACGGGUGAGUAAUGCAUCGGAACGUGCCCAGUCGUGGGGGAUAACUGCUCGAAAGAGCAGCUAAUACCGCAUACGAUCUAUGGAUGAAAGCGGGGGAUCGUAAGACCUCGCGCUAUACGAGCGGCCGAUGUCAGAUUAGCUAGUUGGUAGGGUAAAGGCCUACCAAGGCGACGAUCUGUAGCGGGUCUGAGAGGAUGAUCCGCCACACUGGGACUGAGACACGGCCCAGACUCCUACGGGAGGCAGCAGUGGGGAAUUUUGGACAAUGGGGGCAACCCUGAUCCAGCCAUGCCGCGUGAGUGAAGAAGGCCUUCGGGUUGUAAAGCUCUUUCGGCUGGGAAGAAAUCGCACAGGCCAAUACCCUGUGUGGAUGACGGUACCAGCAUAAGAAGCACCGGCUAACUACGUGCCAGCCGCCGCGGUAA
This 498-nucleotide ribosomal RNA is filed under the name uncultured bacterium. Its description in RNAcentral is "partial 16S ribosomal RNA". It matches the Rfam family "Bacterial small subunit ribosomal RNA", at positions 30 to 523 of the family's 1533-position model. The record is from RNAcentral.